Molecule: long non-coding RNA, 201 nt
Filed under: Setaria viridis
Lineage: Eukaryota; Viridiplantae; Streptophyta; Magnoliopsida; Poales; Poaceae
Description: long non-coding RNA (SVIR_LNC000917)
Source: RNAcentral
UUCCAUCCAAUCCCAUUGCAUCUCAACUCUCAAGCAAUACAAUCCACCAAAAUACAGAACGUAGGGUAUUACUCUUCGGAGGCCCGAACCUGUCUAAAUCCUCGCGUUCUCGCGAUCACCUUCGAGUUCUUUGUCUCGCGAUCUUCUCUGCCUACAAAUCAACCACUUAGGUAACCCGUGGUGGACUGCCGGGCUACUAAA